Molecule: long non-coding RNA, 1207 nt
Organism: Panicum virgatum (switchgrass)
Lineage: Eukaryota; Viridiplantae; Streptophyta; Magnoliopsida; Poales; Poaceae
Exons: 2
Source: RefSeq, a predicted model, not a curated record
AGCAGCUGCUACGAAACUUCUGCUACGGGAAAAAACUGCGGAGACGGCCUCCUUUACUCUCGCACCUUCCGCUCCUCCCCACCGCGUCUUCAUCUUCCUGCUUCCUGCGGAUCUCCAAACGCCGAUCCAUCCUAGUGGUCUCGCAGCUCCAUGGCCGAGAUUCGGUCGCCGUCACUCACCCAUAACUGGCGUUAGAUCAAGGCCGUCGGCACGGCCCGAUGCGGCGGCGACGCGGAGGCCUCGGCGGCACCCGACUCUAGUACCGUCUCACUGCGCGGCCUUCGCCGCAUCCAGCGUCGCUCGAGUUCGACUGCCUCAAGUGAGGUCUACACCGCCGCCGCCACGCUCGGGUCCCCCAACACCUGUGUCUGCAGCUCGAGAUGUGGUUUCUUGGGCGUCUCGCAACUCGACUCCCUCAAGCAGCCGGCGGCCAGCGGACGCUUGAUGCUCACCACCACCCUGCUCCACUCCCCGCAAGACAAGGAGCCAGGUUAGGCAACAGGGGCGGCGGCGCGCAAGCCCGCGCACGCAGGUGGUGGCGGCGGCGCGCCGGCCCUCGCGCGCAUAUACAGCAACGACGGCGGCACCGCACAACUCCACAGGUGGUCAUGGCUCCCCAUCUCCUCUCCGCCCGCACGCACCGGCCCCUCCCUAGCUCCUAGCUGGUAGCCUGUGCCAUGCAGCGUCGAACUCCGGCGGUGGCUCGGUGCGCAGCGGCUGAGCGGGCAGCUCAAGCGUCCAGCACGUUAGCUGCCUCCACGGCGGCCCGUAGGCUGCAAGUCGGAAAUAGGCACGGUCACGCGGCCAGGCAUGCAGCCUCGCCACCCCACGGGUCGGAUGAGGUGGUUCUCCUCCGCAGGCUCAUCCACCGGCGGCUGCUGCAUCCAACUCAGCAAACAACAGUUCAGUUCAACUCACGCUAUAAUUGCUGCCUACAAGGUGCUCGAUAGAAUGCUCCAGUGACGACAUGAUGUUUGGAGCUCUGUUUGCAAAGUUGAAGCUGGGUUAGCAUAUUUGCUCACUACUGCUAUUUCGUCUACAAUUUCAUACAUUCGAGUUCUUCCUUUCUUGCCCCUAACUGUGUGUUGGUCUUGUUAGUUGUUCCUCUUCUGAUUUAGACUCACUAAUUUGUGUCGAGAGGACAACAACUCAAGUGACUUUAGAGAUAGAAUUCUAUAGAGCCUUUGCAACAGAAUUUAGUGUUUUA